This 786-nucleotide long non-coding RNA is filed under the name Homo sapiens (human). Its description in RNAcentral is "non-protein coding lnc-NAXD-4:1". Lineage: Eukaryota; Metazoa; Chordata; Mammalia; Primates; Hominidae. The record is from RNAcentral.
CUGAGACGCCUCCUGUCCCACGCUCUCCGGUGUCCGUGUCUACACAGGGGUCCCCAUGAUACCCACCGGCCCCAGCAGGGCAGACCGGACCGGGGACGGGCACGGUGAAGGGCUGCAGCCUGGGGUCUGACGUGGCCCCUAGUGCUGUCUCAGGAGAAGGCUCUGGAGGACUUGAGGCAUGCUGGGCCUGGUGCAGUGAUGGCGCUAAGGAGACCCGGGGAAAGACAGUAUCGUGGUCACGUAUGCUUAGGAAGCAGCACAGCCGUGUCCUUAGGGAUGUUCGCGUCCAGUAAAGACACUGGUAACUGCGGUUUCAGCCAACACUCUUCAUGGCAGUGUCGACCUCGGGUUAGCUUCUGUUGUCUUUGUGGAUGGUUUUCCUGGAGCGGCCUGACGUUGACGUGUUCUCUGGUCCCAUGUCUUAGCGGGGCAUGGUACGGUUUCGUGCCUGACGCGUGCAUUAGGGUGUUCUCUUAUACUUUCAGUAGCAUCUUUCCACAGCAAGGGCCAAACCCUCCUGGUUCCCUUCAGAGUCUUUUUGGCCUGAUGAUGACUCUUGAGUGAUACCCUGUGAUGCAGACAUGCCCCAGAUGGAUUCUACUUUCUUUAAAACUAGGGACUUUCAAGAUUAAAAAAAAGAUUGUCACUACUAAUUUGACGCCUAACUUCAGAAGCUUCACUGUCUACAUGUGAACUUUUCCAGAAAAACUGUGCCAUGGACAUUUUUCCUCUGGGGAAUUAACAUCUAAAUUCUGGUAACUAUUAAAAGACAGAUCUGGUUAAUUU